ACUGGCUUGUGGCAGCCAAGCGUUCAUAG
RNAcentral lists this small RNA (29 nucleotides) under Bombyx mori (domestic silkworm). RNAcentral's name for it is "ovarian small RNA-11710". Lineage: Eukaryota; Metazoa; Arthropoda; Insecta; Lepidoptera; Bombycidae. The record is from RNAcentral.